CAUUAAGAAGCUUAUUUUAAAGCGUUAACCUUUUAAGUUAAAGACUGGAAGUACUAAUCUCCCCUUAAUGA
Molecule: transfer RNA, 71 nt
Filed under: Pteropus vampyrus (large flying fox)
Lineage: Eukaryota; Metazoa; Chordata; Mammalia; Chiroptera; Pteropodidae
Rfam family: tRNA
About the family: Transfer RNA (tRNA) molecules are approximately 80 nucleotides in length. Their secondary structure includes four short double-helical elements and three loops (D, anti-codon, and T loops).
Source: Rfam by way of RNAcentral